This is a non-coding RNA of Pseudomonas sp., 89 nucleotides long. The record is from Rfam. Lineage: Bacteria; Pseudomonadati; Pseudomonadota; Gammaproteobacteria; Pseudomonadales; Pseudomonadaceae.
UUCUAUGGCAGCUGUGCGUGGGAGGCAUUCGUGCCUGCCGGGUUUGUCUAUUGUCCUGGUCGACCAACCUGCGUACAGCUGCCACCCAA